RNAcentral lists this ribosomal RNA (31 nucleotides) under Thelephora americana. RNAcentral's name for it is "partial 18S ribosomal RNA". Lineage: Eukaryota; Fungi; Basidiomycota; Agaricomycetes; Thelephorales; Thelephoraceae. The record is from RNAcentral.
UUCCGUAGGUGAACCUGCGGAAGGGUUGUUA